RNAcentral lists this ribosomal RNA (844 nucleotides) under uncultured archaeon. RNAcentral describes it as "bacterial SSU rRNA". It matches the Rfam family "Archaeal small subunit ribosomal RNA", at positions 508 to 1353 of the family's 1478-position model. The record is from RNAcentral.
GCUUAAAGGGGCCGUAGCCGGUCGUGAAAAUUCUUUGUGAAAUCGUGCAGCUCAACUGUACGGCGUGCAGGGAACACUCCACGACUAGAGACAGGGAGGAGCUAGAAGUAUGCUAAGGGGACCGGUAAAAUGGGAUAAUCCUUAGUAGACUACCGAUGGCGAAGGCAUCUAGCCAGAACUGAUCUGACGGUGAGGGACGAAAGCCAGGGGAGCGAUCCGGAUUAGAUACCCGAGUAGUCCUGGCCGUAAACGCUGCGAGCAAGGUGUUGCGUAUCUUACAUGGAUGCGCAGUGUCGAAACGAAGGUGUUAAGCUCGCCGCCUGGGAAGUACGGUCGCAAGGCUGAAACUUUAAGGAAUUGGCGGGGGAGCACUACAAGGGGUGCGGCGUGCUGUUCAAUCUAAUUUAACGCAGAAAACCUCACUAGAAGCGACGGCAGGAUGAAGGUCAAGCUGAAGACUUUACCUGACGAGCCGAGAGGUAGUGCAUGGCCGUCGUCAGCUCGUGCUGUGAGGUGUCCAGUUAAGUCUGGCAACGAGCGAGACCUGCACCUACAGUUUCUAACGACCCUUCGGGGGAUCGAGCACACUGUAGGGACUGCUCCGGUAACGGAGAGGAAGGUGCAGGCUACGGUAGGUCUGUAUGCUCCGAAUCUUCUAGGCUACAAGCGCGCAACAAUGGCAGUGACAAUGGGAUGCUACUCCGAAAGGAGGCGCUAAUCCUCGAAACACUGUCCUAGUCUAGAUUGAGGCUUGCAACUCAGCCUCAUGACAACGGAAUCCCUAGUAAUUGGAAUUCAUCAUAUUCCAGUGAAUAUGUCCCUGCUCCUUGUACCCACCGCCCGU